UGGAAAGGCAUAACUGGAAUGAGACGC
This 27-nucleotide non-coding RNA is filed under the name Homo sapiens (human). Lineage: Eukaryota; Metazoa; Chordata; Mammalia; Primates; Hominidae. The record is from RNAcentral.